Molecule: ribosomal RNA, 253 nt
Filed under: uncultured bacterium
Lineage: Bacteria
Description: partial 16S ribosomal RNA
Rfam family: Bacterial small subunit ribosomal RNA
Source: RNAcentral
UACGUAGGGUGCGAGCGUUGUCCGGAAUUACUGGGCGUAAAGAGCUCGUAGGUGGUUUGUCGCGUUGUUCGUGAAAACUCACAACUCAAUUGUGGGCGUGCGGGCGAUACGGGCAGACUGGAGUACUGCAGGGGAGACUGGAAUUCCUGGUGUAGCGGUGGAAUGCGCAGAUAUCAGGAGGAACACCGGUGGCGAAGGCGGGUCUCUGGGCAGUAACUGACGCUGAGGAGCGGAAGCGUGGGGAGCGAACCGG